AAGCUCGUAGUUGAAUUUCGGGGUUAGUAGGUUGGUCAUGCCUCUGGUAUGUACUGGUCUCACUGAUUCCUCCUUCCUUAUGAACCGUAAUGCCAUUAAUUUGGUGUUGCGGGGAAUUUGGACUGUUACUUUGAAAAAAUUAGAGUGUUUAAAGCAAGCUAACGCUUGAAUACAUUAGCAUGGAAUAACGAAAUAGGACGUUCGAUCUUAUUUUGUUGGUUUCUUAGGAUUGACGUAAUGAUUAAUAGGGAUAGUUGGG
RNAcentral lists this ribosomal RNA (259 nucleotides) under uncultured Glomus. RNAcentral's name for it is "partial 18S ribosomal RNA". It matches the Rfam family "Eukaryotic small subunit ribosomal RNA", at positions 624 to 886 of the family's 1831-position model. Lineage: Eukaryota; Fungi; Glomeromycota; Glomeromycetes; Glomerales; Glomeraceae. The record is from RNAcentral.